AUGACUUAUUAAUGUUUUUGAUAUAGGGUUUUACAUAUGUGGCUCCAUCUGUUUUAGAAGAGUUACCUCGACCUUUAAUUCUUAGAGCAAGAUCACCAAGGAAAUUUUCUCAUAGCCCACGCUGGCCUUUCAGUCCUUCCAAAUCAGUGAAUCAAUUUUCUUUUGAGGAAAAUUCAAAAAAUGGGACUUCAUCACCAGUUGGACCAUCACAGUUGGACAUCUUAACUCCUUUUAAUAUAUCUAGACUGAGUGAAGAACAAAUGGAUACCAGUAGCAUUCAUACCACUAGUAGCUGUCUUCCACAGGAACCAACUUCUUUUCUAGGAUCUCAUCCUCCUCGUUCACCUGCAAUUCCAGCACGUAGUAUACAUGAACAGAAGAUUUAAAAAUGGAAAAUUACUUAGAAGAAAUAGAAGAAAUUAUAGAAGGAAAGUUGCAAUAAUUGGCAAGUCCAUCCCACUGCAAGGGAGGUGAAAAGAAGAAAAAUGGCUACAUAAAUAAUAUGAAGGAGUAUACUGCACAUAAUACCAGUGGCCUUUUCUGUAUCUAUUAUUAACACUACAUGAUCAAUGA
Molecule: long non-coding RNA, 573 nt
Organism: Centruroides sculpturatus (bark scorpion)
Lineage: Eukaryota; Metazoa; Arthropoda; Arachnida; Scorpiones; Buthidae
Exons: 3
Source: RefSeq, a predicted model, not a curated record